GCCCUCGUAGUUCAACGGAUAGAACUACGCACUCCUAACGCGUGAAUCGAGGUUCGACUCCUCGCGAGGGCA
Molecule: transfer RNA, 72 nt
Filed under: bacterium
Lineage: Bacteria
Description: tRNA-Arg
Rfam family: tRNA
About the family: Transfer RNA (tRNA) molecules are approximately 80 nucleotides in length. Their secondary structure includes four short double-helical elements and three loops (D, anti-codon, and T loops). Further hydrogen bonds mediate the characteristic L-shaped molecular structure. tRNAs have two regions of fundamental functional importance: the anti-codon, which is responsible for specific mRNA codon recognition, and the 3' end, to which the tRNAs corresponding amino acid is attached (by aminoacyl-tRNA synthetases). tRNAs cope with the degeneracy of the genetic code in two manners: having more than one tRNA (with a specific anti-codon) for a particular amino acid; and 'wobble' base-pairing, i.e. permitting non-standard base-pairing at the 3rd anti-codon position.
Source: RNAcentral